CAAGACGUAGCUAAAAUCGAAAGCAUUCAGCUUACACCUGAAAGAUAUCUGCCACCUACCAGAUCGUCUUGA
RNAcentral lists this transfer RNA (72 nucleotides) under Tringa erythropus (spotted redshank). RNAcentral describes it as "tRNA-Val". It matches the Rfam family "tRNA". From Rfam's summary of the family: Transfer RNA (tRNA) molecules are approximately 80 nucleotides in length. Their secondary structure includes four short double-helical elements and three loops (D, anti-codon, and T loops). The record is from RNAcentral. Lineage: Eukaryota; Metazoa; Chordata; Aves; Charadriiformes; Scolopacidae.